RNAcentral lists this ribosomal RNA (254 nucleotides) under uncultured bacterium. RNAcentral describes it as "partial 16S ribosomal RNA". It matches the Rfam family "Bacterial small subunit ribosomal RNA", at positions 524 to 777 of the family's 1533-position model. The record is from RNAcentral.
UACGGAGGGGGCUAGCGUUGUUCGGAAUUACUGGGCGUAAAGCGCACGUAGGCGGCUUUGCAAGUUAGAGGUGAAAGCCCGGGGCUCAACUCCGGAAUUGCCUUUAAAACUGCAUCGCUAGAAUUGUGGAGAGGUAAGUGGAAUUCCCGGUGUAGAGGUGAAAUUCGUAGAUAUCGGGAGGAACACCGGUGGCGAAGGCGGCGAUCUGGGUCGAUACUGACGCUGAGGUGCGAAAGCGUGGGGAGCAAACAGGG